GACGAACGCUGGCGGCGUGCUUAACACAUGCAAGUCGAACGGAAAGGCCCUGCUUUUGUGGGGUGCUCGAGUGGCGAACGGGUGAGUAACACGUGAGUAACCUGCCCUUGACUUUGGGAUAACUUCAGGAAACUGGGGCUAAUACCGGAUAGGAGCUCCUGCUGCAUGGUGGGGGUUGGAAAGUUUCGGCGGUUGGGGAUGGACUCGCGGCUUAUCAGCUUGUUGGUGAGGUAGUGGCUUACCAAGGCUUUGACGGGUAGCCGGCCUGAGAGGGUGACCGGCCACAUUGGGACUGAGAUACGGCCCAGACUCCUACGGGAGGCAACAGUGGGGAAUCUUGCACAAUGGGCGGGAGCCUGAUGCAGCGACGCCGCGUGCGGAAUGACGGCCUUCGGGUUGUAAACCGCUUUCGCCUGUGACGAAGCGUGAGUGACGGUAAUGAGUAAAGAAGCACCGGCUAACUACGUG
RNAcentral lists this ribosomal RNA (468 nucleotides) under uncultured bacterium. RNAcentral describes it as "partial 16S ribosomal RNA". It matches the Rfam family "Bacterial small subunit ribosomal RNA", at positions 28 to 507 of the family's 1533-position model. The record is from RNAcentral.